CGAGUCUGCAUGAAUGAAUACAGAAGCAAGGAACUAAUAACUCAUUCCGGUGGUACCUUGGGGAGGUCUGGUUCAAUAGAUUCCGGGUCCCACAGAACCAUGAUAUCUCAUUAGCAACUCUGAUUGCUUAAUGACAUCAACCAGAACUGUUGAGUAACAAACACCACCUUCUAAUGACAGCCAUCACAACUUUAUGAUACAAGAUCAUGGCACCGUUAAACAACAUUCAAGUUGUUAAUAAGAAUUACAAAGUUGCGAAUAAGACACCACUUGAGCUGAGACAUUGGAGAAGUCUCAGCCAUAUCAAUCCAUUUUCAUGAUUUGGCAAUUCUUGCCGAGACUUGACAUGUAUUCCACUGUAUAAGUUUGAUUGGCUCAAAGGACAGAAACCAUAUGAAAAGAUACAAUUAAAACUGCUUCAAACAUGCAAGAUGAAAUCUUUUUUUUCUUUUUUCUUUUUUUUUUUCUGUUGGGAUUUGCGGGGGGGGGGGGCAAAUGUCAUGCACUGGCCAAACAAGGUGAGUGGUAGUUUGGUUGGUAAGUUAAAAUUACUGACUCACCAUUGCUCAGAUUCACCAAGUCAAAUAUGAUUUUUCUAUCAAUUGAUGAACUUCUAAGCCUAUUAUAAUUAUCAAUAAUUAAAUUGGUUCCUGCACAUUCACCUGGCAAAAUACACCAGUUGAUGUCAUUUUGCUGCAUUAGACAUAAUAUAAAGCAAACUCCCUCCCACAUAGAUGUUGGACUGGAUGUUCAACCAUCUCCAAUUCCAACAUGUUUAACAGUGAUCCUGAAAUUAAUAAAUACAUCCCUCUUCUUUUGGUUCUCACUAUCACUAUGAGAGAAAAACAAGAAAAGUGCACCAGCCAAAAGUGGUGCAUUCUUAAAGUAACAUAAUUACAUAAAUAAUAGAGGAUAUCUAAUCAAAUAAAGUUAACACAACCAUCCAUUUCCAUUCACAUGCAUUGCACAUGCCCAACACUAGUAGGAAUAAUAUCAACCCAAAAUAAAUAAAUAAUAUAUAUAUAUAUAUAUAAUCACGCACACACACACAUAAUAGAUAGAUAGAUAGAUAUAUUUCCAUUCUGACAGAAUAAGCCAUAUGUUCCGCAAUGCAAAGUAACUUGCAUAAAGUUCCUAUAGUAAGUAGAUCUAACUUUGCUUUUCAACAGCUUUAUUAUAUGUUUGUAGAAAUUGUGCACCAUGAUUUCCACAUUGUGCAAUUUUUUUUAAGUUACAUGUUUCUGUGGCAACUCCACAGAAGUGUAACUGGCUGAUGAUCAAGUACCAAAUAUGUAGUCUAUCUUUAAGCUCCCUGAGUUUGCUGCAUGGGAAUGAUGUUGGCAAACAAAUUGAUUAGUAUUCUUUUGCUUUCAGUUGGUUAACAGAAUUCGCAUUGCAAGAUAAUAGCAGUUUAACCAAACAUAAGGCAAUGCACUGUCAUCCUCGUGUAUUUUAGAGUGCCGUGGUAUUAGAUAGAAUUACUAACCUUCUCCAAUUCCUUGAUUCCCCCAGAGUAAUCAUGUUUCUCUAGCAAUGCAAGCCCCAACAUAUAGUGUGCCUGUGGAUGCCAUGAAAGAAAUCCACUCAGCCAUGGAAAUGACAAAUUCCAUAUUAUCAGGGUACAACAGAACAAUAUUAUAGCAUGCAAGCCCCAACGUAAGUGCGUAUAUGGAUGCCAUGAAAGAAAUCGACUCAGUCAUCGAAACAACAGAUACCAUAUUAACUAGAAUACUAGAUAGAUGCAUACCACAAUUACAGUGAAAAGAAUUCUAUUAACAUACAGGUUAUGAGAAUAAUAUUUUUGGCAAGCUGCAACGUGUCAGGGUACAAUAGAACCAUAACACAGCAUGCACAUAGGAAAAAGCCGAUAAACAAUUGAGGCAUCUAGCAAUGUCUUCCAGUACAAUGUUACUGCUUCAAUAGAAUCAUAAAAAGGGCCCUUACCCUAGGAAACAGAUAUCACAAAAUUCUAACCAGUAAAAUUAUAACCAGGAACAGGAUUAUUUGCAACUCCCAAUAGCAGAACAUAAAAGAGAACCAGAGUUGGAUGCUUAAGUAGCAUAGUGCUGCUUACUGAGAAUAAAGAAAAUGCAAUAGAACUACUGAAAACAACUUUUCAAGGUCAGAUAGCACUUACUCAUUGAAAGAUCAACUGCUAUUAAGGGAAUCGUUAUUGUUUUAAAAUCUUCUUGAGAUUAAUCUAACUCAUAAGAACGAUUCCUUGCAGUGAAAUGCAUAGUGGAACCAUGAAAACCUUUUCCUAAGACACAAAUGAACUGAGGUCUUGAAAAAUGAACUGCUUAUGCCCAAAAUCCAAAUGAACAAUGUUUUGUUUAGUUUCUCUAUAGUGAAGCAAUAUCUCCCAUAGUCCCCCUAUUUUUACCCACAUUUCAUAUGGUCCUAAAGAUUGCCAGAACCCUUGAAUCCUACUAAAUAGAUUGUUAAAGUCUCUUCCAAUGCCAACAAUACUAUAUGUGAUUUCUCCAUCUCACUCUACAAGCAAGAGAGCCUUGGCACCAUGGUAAAGUUGCUCCAUUGUGAUCUACAUGUCGCAUGUUCAAAACACAAAAAAGGCCUCUCAACACAUGGUUGGAGAGGCUGCUGACAUCUAACCCUCCCCAAACCCUGCAAUGGCUCCUGUAUAUUAGGCUACCCUUUUACUCUGCUAUAUAGGCAAAUCCCCAUCCAAAACUUUCAUAAAAGUAAUCUAUCCAAAUUUUCUUACACCUUCAACCUUUAAGCAUCCAAUGUGGUUGAAGCCUCCUUUUUCUUUUGCAGACUCAUAAGAUAUAUUCUGCCUACAAGCUUCUCAAAGUCAUAUUAACACUCAUAAUUUCUGACAUCUAUAAAGCAAGAGUUCAUUAAUUUCCUCUUGGACCUGUGCAUUUUAACCAGUUAACUUCAUUGUACAUAUAUUGCAGCCACAUAUGCUGUCCAUCAUGCAUUUUUAUUCACCUUUUUACUAUGGAAGCUUCUGCAUACAAAGAGUCCAUACAUGUGUACCAUGCAUAUGGUGCACUCAAAAUGUUAGUCAUGCAAUUGAUGCCAAGCACAAUUCGACUCAAAGACCUACUCCUCGAGUUUCAGCCAUUCAAUAGAGGACCUAGAGGUUGUUUGAAACCAACUAAAAUCAGCUAGUUCUACAUAACAGGAUCCUUAUAUGGCUCUCAUCACAAGCACGAGAUAAGAAUGACUCCCUUUAACAAAAACAUGAUGUUGUUUUGAUUAAAUCAGGAAACUCCAAUUAUUAUUCCUUGAACAAAAGAUACAUGCAUGCAAUCACAAUGAAAUACCAACAAGCAACAAGUAAAAAACAUCCACUAGAUGUUUCCAUAGUAGAGUUACUGCAUCAUAAGAAUAAGAUGAUAAAGGAAAGAUGUUUUCACAUGGUUUUGGUUUUGCUUCCAUGGUAAGAGUUUUGUAUUAGUUUCACUUGAGAUGGUAUGGAGAGAGGUGGCAGAGCUUUGCCUAUCUGGGAGGCUCUCACUUUUUCCAAUCCAAGCUCCAAAACAGGUGACGAAGGGGUCAAGUUACUGCCAAAUGGUCUUCAGCAGUUUAAAUCUUGAAGCAGGUUUGGAUUGACAUUUUGAUUUGGCCAAGUGGAAUGUCAUUCAGGUGCACAGAAUCUGGGAAAAGGGUUAACAUUUAGAAUGGUCCUUUUUAUUUAUAAACAAAGAUAAAAAUGAAGAACUACACUUUUCUUCUUAAGGGAGGUGGAUGGCUGCAUUACAACGUUGAACCUUCUCUCUCCCCCUCAAAAUAAAAAAUCAAGUGCCUCUAUGAUUUAAAGUUAUUUUCUUUUCUCUCCUUCCAGAAUGGGUUUUUUCAUCAGCAACGUCCCUAGAGAGGAGCCCUUGGAGAUUUCGAGCAUGCAAGGCAUUGUAUCCUAGAGAUGGGAUUUCCCCAAGCUUGUAUGCAUCAACCAUGGGAAAUCACUCUUUUGAAAAAAGAACUUUAAUUAGUAAACCUUUCCUUGAUCAUCCCUCAUUAUUUCUUUAUCCUACUUUUUUAUUUCUCCACCUAUCCCCAACGCUAAACACAUCAAUGAUUCCCUAGAAUGAGAACCUAGAGCUAGUUCAUUUAGUUUCCUUAACUGGACUGUUAUUGCUUUAGAAUUCAAAAAUGCAUGACAGAACCACCACAAUGGAAUAUGUUACUAACGAAAGCCAAUCCAAUGGCAAGAGUCUAUGUGCAUCCAGUGAAUCAACUGUGCAUGGUGGAUGUGACACUCAGCAUGUCUCAUUGAUAAGUGUAUUAAAGCAUAUUCAUGCAUAAUUUCUCAAAACAACACAGCAGCCAGCUUAGAAAAGUAAGAAAUCGGAGACAUCCCACAUGAAAAAGUCUUAGCCUGCCAGAUUAACAUGAUCAGCAGUGAUUAAAGGCAAAAGCUAGAUUAAAUUACCAUGAGAUGAUACACUGCAGAAACUGCCAAUUAGUAGCAGCAUCAUACUUAGUUGGCCAAAAGGACCAAUAAGACCAAAAAUCCAUUUUUAGAUAAUUUGUACCUAAAAUCUUUGACCACGUUGCUCCAGAACUGCCUAUGCUCAGAGUUCAAGUGACAAUAGAUCAAACAAACACAGAAUUCAAGAAAAACAGGCAAUGACAUGACGAGUAAUCAGCAGACGGAAAGCAACAGUGAAACCACAAAACAAUAAUUGAUAACCAGAAAUUGUCAAAAAAGGUAUGUAGUUCACAGAAUUUCAACAGCAGAUACCAAAAAAUAGGAAAAACAUUGCAAAGAAAGAGAACGGAUGAAGGAGGAAACGAAAGAUGCAAGCUUACCUUCACAGAAUUGCUGUCGAGCUGAAGUGCUCUCCUACAAUCCUCUUCGACUUUUUUCCAUUCACUAUCAAACUCGACAAGUACAACAGCCCAACAUCCAUUGAGACAACCAAUCCAACAAAUCAAGAAAGAACAAGAAGUGAAAACGGUGGCUUAUACAUACUUCCGCUUCCGAUAGCACAAGGCUCGGUUCGUCCAAUAAAUCGCCACAUCCGGGCACAACGUAAUUGCCUGAAAACCCAAUUCAUCCAAUCAAACAUCCAUAUCGAUCACCACAAGGAAGCCGAUUAGAGCAGGAGGACAGCGCCAAGACAUGAACUUCGGACUUGGGGUUAGAGAAAGUUUCUUCUUUUGAUCAAAAACAGAUAGUUUUGAGGGAGAAAAAUCCAUAAUUUUACCAAGACACUUGAUCAAACAGCCAAUGUUGGCUUCAAGAACCACGAGAACGGAAUCAAAAGAACAAAACCGGAUGCAAGAAUAGAUUAAAAGAAAAAAAGAAUCUAUAAGGGUAAACGAAAUCGUUUUUCGCCUUCAAAUAAAUGGAAACCGGAAACGAUACCUCGGUGUAGGCGUCGAUGGCGGCCCCCAGGCGUUCCUUCUUGAAGUAGCUGUUCCCAUCUUGCUUCAGUUGCUCCGCCUGCUUUGCGACGCUCGCCGGCACCGGCAGCGGAGCCAUCGCCGCCCUCCCCUUCGCCGCUCCUCUCUCUCUCUCCCCUCUUCUCUUCCUUCUCUCUCUAAUCGAAGGGAACAAGAACGGAUCGUUGUCCAUUUUAUAGUCUCGUUUGGAUUUCGAUCCCGCCCCCUUUUCCUCCUCGAAUGCAGAAACUUCCCGAGUCCUCGUGGCGGAAAGCCAAGCGUAUGGUAACGAUUGGUAAACAAAUAGAGAGAGGCUAGGGACGAAAGUGUGAAAUGUUAGACCGUUUAAUUUCCUGGAGGACUCGAUUGGAAUUAUCUUUUUAAUUACAACUAGAACCUCGUCUAUUUUUUAUAUUUGUAAAUUCUACCUCUUCGCAUUUUUUCUCUCUCCAAGGGUUUGUUAUUAAUGAAAAAAUAGGAUCCGAUUUGGAAAAUAUUUUAUAUUUCAGCAAUGAUUAUUUACGGACAGAGGACGGGGACAGCCAAGUAUUCCAUUUGAGUCCACAGAAACACUAAAUAUUAACGCAAAGUCCACCUAUUUUUUAAUGUUCGUUUAUUGUACCCCAAAGAAAAAAAAAAAUAAAAAAUGGAGAGAUGUUUACGCCACUGGAGCGAGGGGAUGAAGGCAAUGAGAAAGAGGAAACAGACAUGGUAGAAGUGGGGCACCCUCCCCUAUCUAGAGGCUUCACUUGUCAUAAAUAAGGUAGACAUGGUUUGUUGCUGAUGUUUUAUAACUUGAAAAAAAAAAUAAACAAGUCAAUAAUGUGCAAGCAACAACCACAAAAAUAUAACAUAAACUAACCCUUGCCUCUCUCAUUAUUCUGAUUUGACGUGAAUCCAAGGACCAUAAUCAGAGGGAUCUUUGCGAGUCACAAUAUGUACAUGAGAUUUUUUGCUUAUGUAUUUAUGCAUGUCUAAUAAUUUCUCCUAGCUUGCAUUGUCAUAUUAAUUAAAAAAAUAAAAUAUAUACUAUCAUGAUAUAAUAUAUACAUUGUUAAAUAUAUUAAUUUUUUUAAAAUAUUUUAAAAUUUAAAAUUUCGUAAAUGAUCAAAAUAUUCAUCUCAACUGCUAUGCUUAUGUUAAUAUGUGCGCUAUAAAAUUGACUUUAUCUUUUUUCAGAAUCAUUCAAACAAAAAUCAUACAUGAUGUAUUUUUGCUAAAUCAAAGAAUAUAUAUAAUAUGAUUGACACGGUAGUAGAUAUAGAGGGCAAAUUGUUGGCAACAUAAAACUAAAAGUUUCAAAAUAAUAUUAAAAAAUUUUGGAGGCAUAAUAUAUAUGUACACACAUACGUGUGUGUAUAUAUAAUUUUUUAAUAUCAUCGAUCUAAUAAAAAAAUAAAUAAAUAAUCAAGACUAUCAAUAGAAAUGUGGAGGCAUUAGUCACACAAUAAAUCUCUCGUUAUUUUUUUGUUGGCUUCAGUGCUAGAGAUUAUUAUAAUAAUAAUAAAUAUAUAUGUAUAUAAAAUUAAAGAUAAAUCUUUACUUUUUAACUUCAUGGUUAUUGUAGAUGAAUAAGAAUGAUAUAAAAAAUUACAAAAAAUAUCUCAAAAAUAUUAGAUAAAACACACACAUCACUGAAUAAAGUUACAUGGCUACCCUUUUAUUUUCUUAUUAUUUUCAAUAAAAUUACUUUUUAUUAUAUAAUCAUCCUGUGGUAGGUCUUAAUGCAACAUUAACCUAUCUUUAUUGUUCAAUUUGCCAACAUAAGCAAUUAUCCACAAAUCAAGACCGCUCCCAAGGACUAUGAGCAAUCACCAAUUCAAUCUUGAAUUGCAUCUAAUUUGCUCCAAAAGCAUGCACCAAUCAUGCCCAAAAAAAAAAAACAAAAAAAUAAAAUCAUGCCACAAAAUGCUUGCCACGUGCCAUCCACAUGCCCAUCCAAAUGGGAUGGGAAUCGUGGAGGGAUUGAUAGGUGUGCCACCUCCGUUUGGCGGGGACAUGGAAGUCAUUUCCGAUAGUUCAAGGCUACGAUUUUGAGGCCGGUAAGAUGACCGCACAUCGCCCGACGCCACCAGGACCAAGUAAAAGCCUGAAAACGAAAAAGAAGAACGAAUGAGAACCCUCCCGACCAAAUAAAAACCCACAAAACCCUCCAUAUCGCGCUACCUUCCCUCCUUCCAUUUUCCCCUCUCUCUCUGUAGUUUGCUUCUUUACUUCUUCCUCUCAUCGAGCUGGGAUUUGAACCCUUUCGGCCGAAAACGCUCUCGGAAACCCUAAUCUCUCGACAGAGAUUGGGAGCCCUAAUUUAUUGCUCUCUCGCUCUCUGAAGUCUAAUUGGUGUUCUGCGAUUCCAGGGCGAAAUCCCUGCUCGCUUCCGCCAUUGAAGCUCGCAAGGUCCACCGGCCUGGUCUACUAUCGCGUGGGAAAUGGAGGGGGCUGCGGGGACGUACAAUUCUCGUACGGCAGAGGAGGUCUUCCGGGAUUUUAGAGGCCGGCGAGCUGGAAUGAUCAAAGCUCUCACCACCGGUCUCUUCCUUUCUUCUCUCUCAUACACUCUCCCCUUUUCCCACUCUUGAGCUCGAAUUUUUGAAGCUUUUGAGGCUUUUUUUUUUUCCAUUUUUGGUUUGUUUGUGUUGUGGCUGGUUUCUGAAAAAAAUGUUUUUUAUGUCUUUGUUGCUGGUGUUGCAGAGGUUGACAAGUUCUACCAGCUAUGUGAUCCCGGUGAGUCAUUCCCUUUUUUUUUUUUUGGUUCGAUCCGUUGGUGUUAGGGUUCCGCCAUUUAUGGUUUUGUUGUUCGAUUAGGUCCGGUGGUGGUAUUAGAACAUUUUCACCUCCUUUAACAGGUCUUCUUUUGAUUUCUUUGUUUUCUCAGAUGAUCUGACGCUGAAAGAUCAAAUUUUGUUGUUUCGGCCCCUUUAGAUGUUACGUCAUAUUGUGAAAGCUAUGGAUAAUAUUUCAUGUGUUUCGUCCAAUCAAAUGUAGCUGUUUGGGACUGAAAUAUUUUUUCCCUUUCUCAGUCUUUAUACUUAAUGCCUUUGCAUUUCCGGAGAUCAUGGAUGGAGUUUUGCGUGGUAAAGAAGGUGCUUUAAGACAAUUCUUUAUAUUGUGUAUAGGGAUUGUUGGUUAUGGUAUAUGAUAUUUGAUUAAAAGGCCUCUCUUGUGAUUGAUAACCGUAUAACUUCCACUGUACAAGAUUUAGAAGUAGGCAGGUCAUAAUUUGUUCAUCCAAUUUUUGUGUAAUGACCGUUUUAAAAAAAACAUUAUCUCUGCUGCUUACCGAGUAGCAAUUCUUUCAGUUACUUCAAUGGCUACUUAAUGCAUUUUUCUGUAAUUACUAUUUGUGCAAUGCAAUCGACUACAUAUUUCUCCACAGAUUAUUGAAUGCUAUGUGAUUUAUGUAACUGGAGAAUCCUUUACUCUAUCAGCAGUUUGAGUCUUACAUGCUGAGGAUAUUUCAUACUGAACAUUUUAUUGUAUUGGCAGAAAAGGAGAACUUGUGUCUUUAUGGACUUCCCAAUGAGACCUGGGAAGUAAAUUUGCCUGCCGAGGAAGUUCCUCCAGAGCUUCCUGAGCCAGCAUUAGGAAUUAAUUUUGCCAGGGAUGGGAUGGAUGAAAAGGAUUGGCUGUCACUAGUUGCAGUUCACAGUGAUGCGUGGUUGUUGGCUGUUGCAUUCUAUUUUGGGGCUCGCUUUGGGUUUGACAAGGAGGCCAGGUAAAAUUUUCUUUGGAAUCGAGACUAUGACAGUACAGAAAAAUUGAUGGCUUAGUGAUACUUGGUGCUCUUCCUUGUGCUUAAGAGCAGGACCUCUUAUGUAGUUACCUUUUCUGUUAUCGAUGCAAUUAUGAUCAUCAUUCAAAUACUUUUCCACCUUGAAAAGUAUAUCAUUAUGCAACUUCUCUUUAUUUCUAUUUAUCAUCAGCAACUGAUUUAUAUAUGUAAAGACAAUAAUGUAAGGUGCUUUCGUUAUUCAUGACAUUGAGAACUUAUGGAUUUGUCAGGCAUGUGGUUAUGCUGUUAGUGCUUUCUUUUGUUCAUGGAUUGAUGGUUGAAAGAAUUGCAUCUCUUCACACAAUUCUGAUCUAUGUUCUUGAUUAGUGAUUUUGGACUUUGGUCAUCCUUUUAAAGGUUAUAAGGUGUCAUGCAUGUUUUAAUCAAAACAAAGUGCAAUGCAUGAAAAGUUGCAUAACACAGCAUUUGGCACAUAUAUGUGGCUUGACAUACUAUAACCUAUUAAACAUUUGAAAAUGGUAUAUAUGUACUAUUACAUGAUAAUAUUAUGUAUUUUUGUCCAUCAGCAGUAUCUUUUCUUAGCUGAUUGAGAAGGUAUAAGGUAGCACAAUUGAUUUCAUGCAAGUAUUUUUCUACUUAUUUGUACUGAUAUCGUUGGCAAUGUAAAAAGCAAGGUGACAUCUCAUUGCUCUUCUGCAUCUGAUGUAGGCCAUAGCAUGGCAAAAAUUAUAGCUGAGCCUUUCUUUUGAUUUUUCCCCCCUUUCUAAUGCAUUUUUAUAUAUUUGUAUCUACUUACUUCAUCUUGGGUAUCAUAAAACAAUGUGAUGGGAUAUUGAAAUCAAUCAUCCACAUUGUUGAUCAUGAAUGUCCAAAAUUUCAGAUGUUUUGGAGAUUAAAUGGCUGAUGAUUGUUAAGUAAAAAAGAAUUAAGUAAUAAAACUCAAGUUUGUCUGGAAUGGUAGUUCCUAAAAAUCUAGUUCUUUUUUUUUGAUUUUCACUUCAUGUGUUUUAAGAUAUGCAGAACUAGAUGAACAGUGUUGAUCCAAUGACUUGGAUGGCCUACCAUAUGUUAUUGGUACGAAGGAUUCAAGUCCUAGUGGGACACUUGGAUGGGGUACCAUCCCAUGUGUUGGGACAGGACCGUCCCACUAGUGUUCCAGCGCUUCGAUUGGGACGUCCUCUAUCCCAAGUAUUGGGACGGGACAGGACGGCAGUGCAUUCCGUUCCAUGAAAAAAUUGGAACUGCCCUGUCCCACGGGAUUUAAAACCCUGCUUGGUACAGGAUACAUCCAAGUUAUGCAUGGUAACAUUGAAAGUGUCCUGAUUGAUGUAUAUAACAUUAGUUACUUCUGUCAAAUGGUAGGCCAAAGUGAGGUUGGACAAUCAUUUGAACCAAUUAUGUCGGCAGUCCCCACAAUAUACAGUAGAUAACUUUAAAGAUCUGAUGCAUUGACAAUGUUAUCUCACUUAGAAUUCUGGACUUACUAACAAAUUGAUUGCAAGCUUAUUUUAACAACAACUCAAGAAUGUGGGUCUUAUGAAAGUCCUCUUGUAGCUGGUACUUAGCUUAUUAGGUUUUUUCUUUUCAUUUUUACCAUGGCAUGUCAUUUUCCAGGUGCAAUUCUAUGUGUUCACUUCUAUUUUUCGCUUCUAGGAAUUGGAUGUACUGUUACAUUGACCUUUCCCACAUUUCUUGCGAAAUUUUAAACUCUAUCUUAGUCCUUAUUAUCGAAAGGCAGAAAACUUAUGGGGCUGUACUAAUGUGAUUUUUAGUUAUCGAAGAAAAAAAAUUAUGGUGAUCGGUGAGAAUGUAAAGAAGUUAAAAAGGACUGUUCUCCUUGAACAAGUCUGACUUAAUUUCUGCAUGACCCUUGUAAUUCUUGCAUUGCCAAAUGACCUACAAAUUUGUAAUGUUCUGCUUGUAACUAAAGGUUAUUUUUCUCUUUCAUUGAUUCCUUUAUAAGAAUAUGAUUGGAAGUUAUGUUAAAUAAAUUGGAUGAGCAUUAACUGCUCCACAUCAUUGUGGAUUCGUUAAUUCUUAUCAUGACCUCUUUUGUCACAAGAUCUGCUUCUUUGUGCGUGUAUCCUCACAUUACUCUCUGAAAACUGUAUCUUCUUCUUUGGCAAAGUAGAAGCUUAUCCUUGCCUAACAUCAGGUCAAAAAGAGAAUUAUUUAUUAUUUUAUCUGCUUGCUUUUUCAGGCCUGUUGCUUCUUCUGUCUUUCAUCUUUCUCUCCCUAAUCAUUAAGAUCAGAGAAAGUCUUUUGCUUGCCACAAAUGUCAAGUGCUGCUUCAUCUAUAUAGGACAAUCAAUUGGGGCAUAAGCAUGCUAAGUCUUUUUUUCUUCUUUUGAACCUUGUGUUUGUAAUUGCAUUGUAUUGAGUUUCUAUUUGCAUUCUCUCUCUCUCUCUCUCUCUCUCUCUCUNNNNNNNNNNNNNNNNNNNNUGUUUGUUAAUUAGUCAUUGUUAUUGUAGUUUCUUAUUUGUCAUUCUCUCUCUCUCUCUCUCUCUCUCUCUCUCAAGGAGAAUUCUCCUUUCAAUAUUUGACAUAAUAUGACUAUUAAUAAGCUCAUCACCAAGUGUAGAUAGUUUAAUAUUACUGGAAACAAAUGCUUAAGUGUUCUAAUUAGUGAUCUGACAUGUUUGUUGUUUUUUUCUUUCAAACACUUUUUCUUGGUAAUCUACUAGGGUAUUCCAUCAAGAAUGAAGCCUGCCCUUGGAAAUCCUAAUAUGUCCAAGUAAUUUUGUGAAGGUUGUCUUUGAGAUGAAGACCAUACCUGAAAUAAAAAAUGGUUUUUGGAUUUGAAUGUUGCAAAUGUAUUGUGCUCUCAGGUGGGGACCAUGUGCUGAACGAUCCCAUUUUUAUGGGACCUACUCAAAGGAUGAGUAUAAAUUAGGCUGAGGAACUACUCUCUUCUAAGUACACUAAAGAAUGUAAACAGUGCAAUGUUUAUGAAAAGGACAUAUAAUAGGCUUAUUUGUUGAAAAGGCUUGUAUGCUUAUGACUGUAGAGAUUGGUGGAUUUAUGAUCAUACAUGUGAACCCUAAUGGUUCUGUAUUAUCUGCUUAUAAACAAACUCAUCUUUUUUUGGCUUGUGGCUUCUAUUCUGAACUUUACUUUCUUUUCUUCUUUUUUUAUUUAUUGGCUAAACUUUGAAUCAUACGUCAUGGACUGCUUGGUUAUGUGCACAUGCCUGGUGAUUUUUAGUUGCCUUAGCAUAAAGUUAUGAGUUGUGUUGGUCUUUUCAGCUAGUUAUUAUUGGUCUCGUUGCUUGUUCUGAGCAAGUAAGCUUUUAAGAAAUGAGACACAGAAAUCUGUGCCCAAGAACUUGGUAGUUGGAAGUUGUCCUCUUGACAUUAGAUGUAUUUGUGCAUGACUACUUUGUAGAAUAGGAAAUCAUUUAUUUGCCACAACCUACGGUAAGGUUGUUGAUUUGGCACCAAGUCCACAUAUAAGCUAACCUUAGUUAGAUUUUUUGGACCAUAUUUAUCAUUUUUGCCCAUUAUAUUUCAUUUGCCAUCCAAAGUCAUGGCUAAUUAAAUUCUUAAACCUUUUUUUUUUUUGAAAUUUCAUUGUUGGUUUCAGUGUUUAAUUUGAUAUUACAGAUACUUAUGGCAUACUUUUCUUCACUCUGUUGUAAAUGUUUGUCAGGAAGAAAAUUUGUUAUCUUCAUGAUAUGGUUAGUAUAUAAUAACGUAUAGAAUCAGGAAGUUUACUUUAGCACUUUGCUGGGUUUGGAAACAUGACAAGUUUGGCUAGCAUGCAGCCUUUACAGGACAUGUACAGUAAAGACAUCUCCCUUUCUUCUAAGGUCGCUAACAAGAUUUUCUUCUUGUGUACAGUAGAUAGGUCUUCUUUUCUUUCUGUACUGUUUUAUCUUUCUCCUUAUCUGUUAUUCAUGCGGCCUCCAAACUAUAGUUCUCGCAUGAGAAUGCUAUUUUUACUAAUGCUUUGUUCUUUUUAUUGUCUUUAACUGAUUAGAUCAAAUCAUUAUGUAAUGUUGUUAAGCAUGGUAAACAACCAAGUUUCGUUUUUCUCCUUCCAAUAUUAAACUCUCAGUUUUAGCCUAUGCUUCUUUAAGUUUUUGAACUCAAAUAUUAUGGUCCUGUCAUUAUUGAAAUUGUUUUGUGGGUUGCUCGUUUUGCUUAAAAUAAUGAUGGUUGGAUGAAUUUGAUGUGGUUUAUUGAAACAUCUGAAACAAUUUUUCAAUGAUUGGGACAAUUUUGUUUCUUUCACUUGAAGUAACAGAUUACAGAAUGUUUUUAUGAAGCAAAUGUUUCAGGGAAAUUUGUAAACCAUGAUUCUUUCUUUAUUGGUUGCGUAUCUGAGAUACUUAAUCUUGCAUACUUAGUCUGUUAGUUACCAUCCUUAGCAUUUAGUAUGUAUCAGUGUUCAAAAUUGGGAAUGACUUUACUAUAGGUUUUGGUCAAGUGGCAUCGAGAUUUUAAAUUCUGGUUGAUAUUGAUUCAAAAUUGACCCUUGUUUCCUUUAGUUUUGGCUUUCUUGAUUUUGUUUGACCAAAACUGACAGAUUCCAGUCUGGUUUCAGGUGUUUCAGCCAAUUUUACCCAAAAGUUAUGCACAAAUUUUUAAGCAUUAUUGUAAGAUUUAUUAUGUUGUUGGGAUUGUUUAGUUAGUUAUUUAAGUGUAUAGUCUGUAUUGUCAAUUUUGGGCUGUCUUCUUUCUUUCUUGAGUUAAAGAGGGAAUAUUUGCUCAUGGACUGCAAUCGAUGAUCAGUAAUUGCUUGAAUGGAAGCAUGGAUUCUCGCGAAUUCUAGAAAAUUGGAAUCAUUUUAGGAACUUACGUCAAGAAAUCCAAAAGGAAGGUAAUGUUUCGUAGAUUUAAAGGACCUUUAAUUGAGGUUUCUGGGAGAUAAAUUAAGGAGGAGGGGUCUAUUUAGUAGAAAGUGUACCUCAAAUACUCUAUUUUCAGGAUUUGAACUUGGAGUCGUAAGUCUUAACAUGCAUGUAGAUUAUAUGUAUCUGAGUAAUGUUUUAUUAUUAGGUCAUUAUUUAAAUUUUGUUUCUUGGUAUGACGAUGAUCAAUUUAUCAGCUAGUACUAAACUUUGUCCCCAAAUUUUUUUUUUUUCUUUUGGGUUCCUUUAUUUUUUUGUUUUGGGGGAGGGGGGGGGGGGGCUGUUGUUGGAGGUUGUAACCAGACAUCUAUGGGCUCGGAGGUUAGCAGUUGCAUGUUUUCUGCUUAUAGUCUUUUCGAACAUUGAUAAAAAGUGUUUGUGCGAUGUUAUAUUCUUAUAUCAAGUUGUUAAGAGCGACCAUGUGUAACAAAAUUGGUGUUUUGAAGGAAAACUGUUUGAGGCAUACAAGUGUUGAAAAAAAAAAAAGAAAAUCUACUGUUACCCGUGUUUUGACAUGAGUAUGGAGCUGUGGUGAUCCAACCUCAAAUGCUCCAUCACAUUAGCAAAGAUUAAGGAGCUAGCUGUGUUUGGAAAGGAGUUGAUGAAUAAAGCAAGAGGUUCAGGGAGCAAUGCUUGACAUGGAUGGUGAUGGUGCAAGAAAGUUAAUGGACAUGUGUGGGUUCUGUUUACAAAAGUUGAUUUGAAAUGGGAUCGUCUGCAGCACCCAGCUAGGUAAACUUCAGCUACUAUUCAUCUAACCAUUAACAACACAGACGGAAGCAAAGAAAAGUUGAUAUUAAUGUUAUACAUGGGACUUAAGAAGUUAUUGUUCCUGACUGGACUAAUGCAUCAUCUUUUCUUUCGGCUACAAUGGCCCAAUUGAUGAUAGAAACCUUUUAAACAAAUAUCUCUGGUCCUAGGAAUCUAUCUGAUAAAUAUUAAAGUGGAUCUUUAAGUGAGAUCCAAAUUAGUUCAAGGCAUGUAAAGUCAGUGGGGUAUCAAUAAUGAACAUUAUGAAGGAAUGAUCGCACAUCCGAUCGAUCAGAUCAGGGUGCAGCGGAAUUCAAAAAUAUUUCGAUCCGACUUGCGAUUCGAUCAAGAUCAGAUCUCGAUCGUAGUUAGAUCGAUCAUGCAUCUAGAUUAAAGAAAUCAGAAAUUUAAAACAAUUUUAAAUGAGAUUAAUGAUGAUCACAUCAUCAUCUUGCAUGGGUAAAUGAACUCCGCAAUCCGAUGAUCGUAGAUUUGAGGUUCGCUGUUGAGCCGCGAACGUGCUCGAUCUCUACAGGUAUUCACUCGAGCUCGGACUAGGAUGCUCUCUCCAUCUUCGAUCCAUCUACUCCUAGAUGGAUCUACAAGCUUCUGGAUCAGCCUUCAAUCAGAUCUCCGACAGGGUUCCGAUCAAAGCCUGAUUGUAGCUUUCUUGUUCCUUCGCAUAUAUCGGAUGGAACUCGACACCUCGAUACCAUCAGAUGGGCUGCCCAACACCCUUGGACAUGGGAGAGGAUGAGAGAUCAGAGAGAAGAGGGAGAACAUGCGUGGAUAUGAUUGGAGGGCUCUGGGAUUUUUCUUCUAAUGAGAAAAAUUGUCAAACCGUUUGAUUGGGGCUCUUUUAUAGACAUUUGAUUGGAUCAAAUGCCUUAAAGCAAAAGGACUCUGGUAGGCUGCCCGCCCAUCCUGAUUUUUCACCUUAUUUUGUCGCACAAAACCAAAGAGAAAUUCAGAUUGGUGUACACCACGGAUAGGGUAGUUGUCGCCCAACUCAGUCCUUUCAGAUUCGAAUUCAAAUACUUCAAAUUCGAAUCCAAAUUCAAAUUCAAAUUUGAAUUUAGAUGUAACCUCCUCAUUCUUAUCCUUAUCUGCAAGAGAAUGGGGUUUAUCCCCCUUUCUCCCUCCCUUAUCUCCAAGUAGGCGGCACACACAUGGAUCUUAUCCAUGUGGGUGUGCGCCUCUCAUCUAGCCGAAGAAAACACCCAUCAUUUAAUUCUUACAUGGGUGGCUUUCUUUAGGAACUCCAACUCUUGGUGUCCUAAAUGAGCUCGCUUCAAUUUGGUUGAGCUCUAUCUAAUAGAGAACCCAAAUCAAGUAUGAAAAAAUGGGUUUAACCAUGUGUUAGGAUGGUUUUCUUAAAUCCAAAGCUUAGACUUUAAUUAAUCCUAACCCAAUCAGACUACACUUAGUCCAAUUCUAGACCAAAAUCCUUAUUUGUGUGACCCCAUAGGUCCAAUUCUGUUUGGUAGUGAGAUAUAUUGUGAUCUCUAUCAACAUCAUCGAAACUCUUUUCGAAGGAUCAGAACUCUUUCUAAUUCAGCCAAUUAAGAAUUAUUGCUUAUCAAAAUGAUUCUUAAUUAGUCUUAUGAUCCAUCAGUGACACCUAACAGUAUGUAGUGGCAAUCCAUCAGAAUUGAAUAAUGAACUUUUAGGUGCAGUUCGAUUCUUCCGUUGUGAGUCCCGACAAGACGCAGGUCAAGGAUAUAACUCAUCAAAUCCGUUCGUCCGUCAUAUGUCAGAUUCAAUCGACUCGAGUCCAUGUGAAAUCUUAUGAAAAUUUCUUUCCAUCAUUCACCUACCAUGAUCAUGGAUUUUAGGACUCCGUUUCAUAAACUAUAUAGGAUCUCUUCCUAUCUAUCAGGGUCGGCAGAUCCUAUUUUGAUGCACAUCCUAUUCCUACAAUGGAUCUACUAUAGCCAACAUACACCUCAAGGCUCCGAAUGGUUAGGAGAUCGAGUUAUGGUGCAGUCAAACUACAGCAAUCCUACUGUGAACAACCGAGGCACCGCAAGUCAAAGAACUAUUUACACUGUAACUUUGAGCAAGUCACCGACGAGUGGGCAGUCAUCUUAGUGACUUUUCGUGUUAGUCAUGUUUAGUAUCCUUGAUCUCUAUCAAGCACCUACACUUUCGCUUCAGUGUCUCCACACUGUCGAUUCGAGACUUGUCCAUCCACGAAGGAAAGCGAUCUGUGUAUCGAUCUGUCCAGAUCAAUUAUUGUCCUCAUGAUGAUCUAUCGAAUGGGAGUAUUUAGGAAUUAAUCACUAAUGACACGUACCUCAAAUUUUCAACUCUUGAAAAUACGUGUCAUCAUCCGUUAAUUUUUCGAACGAUUUAUGGAUAAUUUAAACACAAUAUGAAUGAAAAAAUAAUCCAGAUUUUAUUUAUUUCAAAAUUACAAUUACAAAAUUAUGUCUCUAGAGUGUGUACGUAUGUCAGUCAAUCUGACUUUUAGGACAUACAUCUAAUAAACUCUCACUUGGUCUAAAGUCUAUUGACCAUGAACUUAAGCCUCAUCUUCUCAAGGUGAGCUUCAGUCUUCUGUUGGCUCAGCGGCUUGGUCAGCGGAUCAGUCAUAUUCUCUGUGGAGUUGACUCUGCAUCUUGACGAAUUUUUUCUCGAGAUAUUUGUGAAUCAGAUGAAAUUGUUGCUCGAUGGGCUUGGACUUCUGGUGAGACCUCAGUUUCUUAGUGAGUGUUAUGGCAUCAUUGUUGUUGUAGCAGAGUGGAAUGGCAUCUGGUGGCAUCACAUCCAGCUCUGCAAUAAAUUUUUUGAACCAGAAUUUUUUCUUAGCAGCCUCCAACGCGGCGAUGUAUUCUGCCUUCAUGGUGGAAUCUGCAAUAAUCAAUUGCUUGAAACUCUUCCAGCUAACUGCACCAUCGUUACACAGAAAUACAAAACAUGAUGUAGACUUUCUAUCAUUAAUAUCAAACAUAAAGUCUGAGUUUGUGUAUCUCUGUACCCGCAAAUCUUUAAAAAUUAAGAAGAGAUCUUUAGUCAUUCUUAAGUAUUUAAGGAUAUUCUUCACAGCAAUCCAAUGCUCCUCAUCUGGAUUCGACUGAUAUCUGCUUGUGAUACUUACAGCAAGAGCAAUAUCAGGUCGAGUACAUAGCAUAGCGUGCAUGAGGCUUCUUAUAGCAGAAGUAUAAGGGAUCUUGCUUAUAAGCUAAAUCUUCUUAGGUGUGUUGGGGCACAUCUUCUUGGAGAGAUGAACUCCAUGACUGAAGGAUAAUAUACCUCUCUUGAAAUUCUCCAUGCUGAACCGCUUCAGCACUUUCUCUAUGUACAGUUGCUGUGAAAGAUCAAGCAUUUUUUUAGAUCUAUCUCUAUAAAUCUUUAUGUCUAGAAUAUAGGAUAUUUCUCCAAGGUCUUUCAUGGAGAACUCUUUGGACAAUCAAAGUUUCAUAGAAGUCAUCAUGAGGAUGUCAUUCUGAAUUAGGAGGAUGUCAUCCACGUACAAUGUGAGGAAUGUGACAGCCCUCCCACUGAUCUUGUUGAACAUGCACGAUUUCUCCUCGUUCUUGAUGAAAUCAAACUUUUUGAUCGCAUCAUUGAAUCGAGUAUUCCAACUCCGAAAUACUUGCUUUAGUCCGUAAAUGGAUCUUUUUAGCUUGCAGAUCUUGUGAUCUCCAUCACUGGAUGUAAAAUUCAAAAGCUGCUCCAUAUAUAUAUCUUCCUCAAGAUAUCCAUUCAGAAAGGUAGUUUUCACAUUCAUUUGCCAAAUCUCAUAAUCAUGAGUUACUGUAAUAGCAAGCAGUGUAUUAAUGAACUUCAGCAUGGCUAUUGACAAAAAGAUAUCUUGAUAGUCAACACCUUCGCGUUGACUAUUAUCUUUAGUCACAAGCUUAGUUUUAAAGGUUUCCACCUUUCCAUCCGAUCCAAUUUCUCUUAAAGAUCUAUUUACACCCAAUAGGAACUAUUCCUUCUGGUGGAUCUACUAAGGUCCAGAUCUGGUUGCUAUGUGUUGAGUCAAUCUCUGACUUCAUCUCUUCCAACCAUUUUUUGGAGUCAAUGUCUGACAUCGUCUCGUCAUAGAUUUAGGAUCAUCAGCAUGGUUCAUAUCACCUAUGAGGAACAUUUUCUCUACAUCCUUUUCCAGUAUAUCCAUGUAUCUUUCAGGAGGACGUGUGAUCCUACUGGAUCUACGAGAUGGAAUGGGUUCCUUAGGUUUUAUGACUCGCCGUUCUUCAGAGACAUUCUUUUCGAGCUAAAUUUUCCUCCCACUAUCUCCAUCUUGAUAAAAUCUUUUUUUAAGAAUUUGGCAUGCUGGUUCACAAUCACAUUAUGAUCCUUCGGGAGGUAAAAAUAGUAUCCUAAAGAUUUUUUCAGGUAUCCUACAAAACGAGCUCUCAUAGACCUAGUCUCUAAUUUAUCCGUCGUUGUCGUUUGACAUUGGUCGGAUAUUUUCAAAUUUUGAGAUAACCAAAAUUCGGCUUCUUACCAUGCGACAUCUCAUAUGGUGUGGUAGGAAUGGAUUUAGAGAGAAUCUUAUUAAUUAAAUAAUUGAUUGUCAUUAGAGUGUGUCCCCAAAGAAAUAAAGGGAAGUCGGUGAAGCUCAUCAUGGAUCGAACUAUAUUUAAUAGGGUCUGAUUUCUCUGUUUUGAAAUCCCGUUGAGCUGAGGCGUUCCAGGUGGAGUCCAUUGAGAGACUAUCAUUUUUUUUGAGAUAACUGAGAAAUUUUUCACUUAGGUAUUUCCCUCGAUCUGAUCGAAGUACCUUAAGUGAUUUCUCAGUUUGCUUCUCUACCUUAAAUCUGAAUUUCUUGAACCUUUCAAAGGCUUCAGAUUUGUGUCUCAUAAGAAACACAUAUCCGUACCGUGAAAAAUCAUCGGUAAAGGUGAAGUAGAGAACCUCCUCUGGCCGGCACAUCAAAUAGGCCGCAUGUAUCACUAUGUACCAGACCUAGUACUUCAGUGGUCUUUUUUUCGUGUCCUACAAAGGGUAGUCUGGUCAUCUUUCUCUGAAGGCAGGACUCAGACCGAAAUCGACUCAUCCGAGAACGAGUCUAAAAGAUCAUUUUUCACCGAUCUGUCAAUUUUUUCUUCUCCGAUAUGAGUUAGCCUAAGGUGCCACAUGUACUUUAGGUUAACUUCAUCUCUGAAUAUUUUAGAUCCAACGUCACUCACUGUUUGCUCGGAUAAAUUAAUUGAUUCAUCUGCAGCAACAUGCAAAUGAUAGAAACUGUUGAUUAAGUGACCAUGUGCAAUCAUUUUAUUUUCAAAAUAAAUAGUACAAUGGUCCUUAUUGAAACUAAUUUCAUAAUCAUUCUGUGCUAAGUAUGAAAUAAAAAUCAAAUUUUUGCUUGUAUUAGGUACACAGUAACAAUCUCUCAGUUCUAGAUAGAAAUCAGACGGUAAUCGAAGAAGAUAGGUCCCUACGACAACAACAGUAAUCUUUGCUCUGUUGCUUACUCAUAGGGUCAUCUCUCCUUGUUUCAACCUUCUACAUUUCUUAAGACCUUGCAUUGAAGUGCACAAGUGUAUACUGGUAGUAGAAGAAAUCGCUAGGUUAGUCUCAAUCACGAGCAAGUCCGACAUACCUUCUAAAGGUGUCUUUUGAACACUUCAUGGUCCCAAUAAACAUUUUUGGUUUAAGACAUAAUCUAGCUUCUUGGAACUCAAAAUGCUUUUCAAGUCCCUUAGCCAAUCCUUAUAGUUGGAACUUGACAAUUGGUUGAUUUUUAAGAUGCAGGCUAGACUAUUAGAAGGAGACAAAAUUCUACAGAGAGGAAAUUUUUAGUUAGACUUUUGUAAUUAAUUUUAGUUUAUUCUAGAGAAUUUAUUUUAGAAACAAACUUAGUUCUCAUUAUUUCUGCGGAGCUCCCACUAUUUCUUUGGAUUCUAACACUCCUCGGGUUAGGAAGCGGAAACUCCUUCGCAAGUUAGGGUUCCUAGUGGGUACUGCGGUCCCACCAAUUGGCACACCACCUCACCUGACAGGUCUUGGUGAAUAUGUCAACCAAUGGGUGGUCAACUCUUGCCCAAUGCUUCUCAAGUAAAUUGCAGCAGCAGAUUUGGUCUCUAAGUUCUGAGAUCUCAUCUGAUAGAUUUUGAUUUCAUUUUUUGGUUAAGUCAGACCCACCAUUGAGCGCGAGUGAAACCGUCAUUGGAUCUUCAUCUGACAGAUCUUAGGUCCAACCCUAUCUUCAUCCUACUACAAAUAAAGUAGUUGCUUCUCCUCUGAUGCAACUGAAUCACUGUAUCCAGUCCAGAACAGUCAACAUGGAAGAGGGCACGGCACUCUAUAAUGGUGGAAGACCCCUCGACUUAAUAUUAUUGAGGAGAUUUUGAUUUAGGUCUCAUCCUUAAUUAAUCAUAACAGUUAUGAUUAAUCUAGUGGCAUGGACUAGCUCGAAUCAUCAAGCAACCUAAUUCAAAACUUAAUCGAUCAAGUUGGUCAGAUAAGUGUGAUCAUUGGGAGGGAUAUAGAUGCUUGUCUUAGACACAAUUUAUGCAUGGCCAGGUAAGCAUGAUCUCAAUUAAAAAUCACAAUCGAGACUUGCCUUAGACAUCAAUUGAUCAAUUAGAAUCGAAUAGGUCAGCCUAGACUCGGGCUUGAACCAUUGAGCCAAAUUAGGUCUUUGAGUUGAUCGAUGAUAUAUGGCUAUUAAUCGAUCUAACCAAUCUACAACUAUUGGAUUAGUCAUGAGCACGCUUGACUUAAUCCUAAUCAAUUUUUGAUUCGGUUUGAUCAAUCGCUCAAAACUAGAUCUUAUUGAGCUAUACAUACCCAAAACCCCAUGUUUUAUGCAGACUUCAGAUCUUAAAUUCUCAAUUUUAGAUCUCUUAGAUUCAUGUCUUAAUUCUUAAUUAAGUGCAUUAUGAACAUGGAUAUAGUUUAGAUGUCGAAAUAAUUUUAGUUCUAAACUACAUUACAUUGUAUCUCAUACCAAAUUUUUGUCCUCAGAAUUGAGUUGACUCACUCUGGAUUUGAGUCGACUCAUCACAGUAAAUCGACUCAACUCUGAGACUUAGUCGACUCACCUGUGACGAACAGAAAUCCUGUAAGCCUCAGUCUGCACAACUGAGUCGACUCAUUUGCCAAUUGAGCCGACUCAUCAGAGUAUCGAGUCGACUCAAACAAAAAUUGAGUUGACUCGACAGGCGUGUCAGCCACAAGUUUCAAUGUUUCGGAUUAUAUGUGCAUCAUUAAAAGUUCUAGUUUAGAUGUGGAAAUAAUUUUCAAUUCUAAACAACUUAAAUGCAACAUAUACAAACAGAUCCUAGGGUUUUUGGAUCUAGGGUUUUGUAGAAAAUUAAGUUUCUUCAUUUCGCAGUUCUUCCUUUCAAUUCAUGCGGCAUCCCUUCCAUCAUAGUCCUCUAUGGCAGGACGGCUUUUACCAUGGACUUUGAGGAGUACUAAGCUACUUAGAAAUGACACUACAUCUACACAUAUCAUAUAUGCAUAAAGGAUAAAGAUAUCAUACAUCUCAUGUAUAAAUAGGAUCAUUAUUACAUGUUUUAAAUUAGAUUUAAUCUAAUUAUUAAAUUUGAUUUUAGAUUUAAUCAUACAUCUUAUGCAACAUAGAUUUAACAUACAUCUCAUGUAUCAAAUAAAAAUCAGAUUAUAAACAUGUAAUUCAGAUCUAAUUACAUCUCAUGCAAAAUAGAUCUAGACAUGAUCCUUUGCAAAAUACACCUCAUGCAACAUAACACUUAUGUUAAGAUUUAUGCACUUAAUUAGGUUUCUGAUUUUUAAUUCUCUAAUCUUAAGUUUCAGAUUUAAUCAUAACCUUUAGAUUCAGCAUAAAAAUCAGUCCUAAUAAGAGCAAAAAAUUCAGAUCUAAUUUAAACACGCUGAUCAUUUUGAAAAGCUGAAAUCUAGAUCUAAUGCAAUUUCAGAUUCAUGUACUAAAUUAGAUCUAAUCGUUUUUAAUUCAAAUCUAAACACAACUCAGAUCUAAUUUGAUUUAGAUCUGAUCUUAAUUUAAGAUGCAUGAUCUGUACAACCUGGCUCUGAUAUCAGUUGAAGGAAUGAUCGCACGUCCGAUCGAUUUGAUUAGGGUACAGUGGAAUUCAAAAAUUUUUCGAUCCGACAUGCGAUCCGAUCAAGAUCAGAUCUCGAUCGUAGCAAGAUCGAUCAUGCAUCUAGAUUAAGAAAAUCAGAAAUUUAAAACAAUUUUAAAUGAGAUUAAUGAUGAUCAUAUCAUCACCUUGUGCGGGUAGAUGAACUCCGCAAACCGAUGAUCGUGGAUUUGAGGUUCGCUGUUAAGCCGUGCACGUGUCCGGCCUCUACAGGUAUCCGUUUGGAUUCGGAUUAGGAUACUCUCUCCGUUUUCGAUCCGUCUACUCUUAGAUGGAUCUGCAAGCUCCUAGAUUAGCCUUCAAUCAGAUCUUCGAUAGGGUUCUGAUCAAGGCCUGAUCGCUGUCUUCUUGUUCCUUCGCGUAUAUCGAUGGAACUCGACACCUCGAUACCACCAGAUGGGCCGCCCAACACCUUUGGACGUGGGAGAGGAUGAGAGAUCAAAGAGAAGAGGGAGAGGAGGCGUGGAUAUGAGAGAAGGGCUUUGGGAUUUUUCUUCUAAUGAGAAAAGUUGUCAAACCAUUUGAUUGGGGCCCUUUUAUAGACAUUUGAUCGGAUCAAAUGCCUUAAAGCAGGACUUUGCUAGGCUGCCGCCUACCCUGAUUUUUCACCUCAUUUUAUUGCACAAAACCAAGG
RNAcentral lists this long non-coding RNA (23367 nucleotides) under Elaeis guineensis (African oil palm). RNAcentral describes it as "long non-coding RNA (EGUI_LNC003301)". Lineage: Eukaryota; Viridiplantae; Streptophyta; Magnoliopsida; Arecales; Arecaceae. The record is from RNAcentral.